Molecule: ribosomal RNA, 511 nt
Filed under: bacterium enrichment culture clone Cont14_3131
Lineage: Bacteria
Description: bacterial SSU rRNA
Rfam family: Bacterial small subunit ribosomal RNA
Source: RNAcentral
AGAGUUUGAUCMUGGCUCAGAACGAACGCUGGCGGCAUGCCUAACACAUGCAAGUCGAACGGACCUACUUAGCUUGCUUUGUAGGUUAGUGGCGGACGGGUGAGUAACGCGUGGGGACCUGCCCAGAAGUGGGGAACAACGACGGGAAACUGUCGCUAAUACCGCAUACGCCCUGAGGGGGAAAGGCUUCGGCCGCUUUUGGAUGGACCCGCGUCGGAUUAGCUUGUUGGUGGGGUAACGGCCUACCAAGGCGACGAUCCGUAGCUGGUCUGAGAGGAUGAUCAGCCACACUGGGACUGAGACACGGCCCAGACUCCUACGGGAGGCAGCAGUGGGGAAUWUUGSACAAUGRGSGAAASCCUGAUSCAGCSAYKCCGCGGUGAGUGAAGAAGGCCUUCGGGUUGUAAAGCUCUUUUGUCCGGAACGAAACGGGCGAGGUGAAUAUCCUCGUCUACUGACGGUACCGGAAGAAUAAGCACCGGCUAACCACGUGCCAGCCGCCGCGGUAAUA